GUGCCAGCCGCCGCGGUAAUACGGAGGGUGCAAGCGUUAUCCGGAUUUACUGGGUUUAAAGGGUGUGUAGGCGGACUUUUAAGUCAGCGGUGAAAUCUCCGGGCUCAACCCGGAAACUGCCAUUGAUACUAUUGGUCUUGAAUAUUGUGGAGGUGGGCGGAACGGGUCAUGUAGCGGUGAAAUGCUUAGAGAUGACCCGGAACACCGAUUGCGAAGGCAGCCCACUACGCAAUGAUUGACGCUGAGGCACGAAAGCGUGGGGAUCAAACAGGAUUAGAAACCCUCGUAGUCC
This 292-nucleotide ribosomal RNA is filed under the name uncultured bacterium. Its description in RNAcentral is "partial 16S ribosomal RNA". It matches the Rfam family "Bacterial small subunit ribosomal RNA", at positions 505 to 796 of the family's 1533-position model. The record is from RNAcentral.